Molecule: long non-coding RNA, 348 nt
Organism: Culicoides brevitarsis
Lineage: Eukaryota; Metazoa; Arthropoda; Insecta; Diptera; Ceratopogonidae
Exons: 3
Source: RefSeq, a predicted model, not a curated record
AUCACUUAUUCAGUAGAAUUCCAAAUGAGUAAUGAUAAGCAAGUAGUUAGUAAUACGUGCGAUUUGUACUUGCAAAAAUCAGUGAUACAGAUUUCCGGAGAAUUACGCCCAAACAAGACAAGAAAAAAUGCUUUCCCGAAAAUUGCCAAAAUAUCUAUUAAUAAGCGCAUAAUGUUCAGUCGUUUGGCUCGUGGACAAAUUUUUUACUAUACUUCGGAUUUGAGGUUUUUGAAAAUGAAAAAGAAUAAAGAGAAACCAUUAAAGGGAAGAGUUUUGGAAUGUCAAUUACUCAUCAUUGGUUUCAUUUUAAAAAAAUUAUCAAAAAUUUUAUUGAGAUAACUUGAGCGC